GUGUCAGCAGCCGCGGUAAUACGGAAGGGGCUAGCGUUGUUCGGAAUUACUGGGCGUAAAGCGCGCGUAGGCGGCUGGACAAGUGAGGCGUGAAAGUCCUGGGCUCAACCCGGGGACGGCGCUUCAGACUGUUCGGCUGGAGUCCGGAAGAGGGUGGUGGAAUUCCGAGUGUAGAGGUGAAAUUCGUAGAUAUUCGGAGGAACACCGGUGGCGAAGGCGGCCACCUGGUCCGGUACUGACGCUCAAGUGCGAAAGCGUGGGGAGCAAACAGGAUUAGAUACCCUGGUAGUCCACGCUGUAAACGAUGGGUGCUAGAUGUCGGGGGGCUUGCUCUUCGGUGUCGUAGCUAACGCGUUAAGCACCCCGCCUGGGGAGUACGGCCGCAAGGUUAAA
Molecule: ribosomal RNA, 393 nt
Filed under: uncultured bacterium
Lineage: Bacteria
Description: bacterial SSU rRNA
Rfam family: Bacterial small subunit ribosomal RNA
Source: RNAcentral